This 74-nucleotide transfer RNA is filed under the name Bacteroidetes bacterium QS_7_67_15. RNAcentral's name for it is "tRNA-Asp". It matches the Rfam family "tRNA". From Rfam's summary of the family: Transfer RNA (tRNA) molecules are approximately 80 nucleotides in length. Their secondary structure includes four short double-helical elements and three loops (D, anti-codon, and T loops). Lineage: Bacteria; Pseudomonadati; Bacteroidota. RNAcentral also lists the same sequence under 1 other name. The record is from RNAcentral.
GGUCCGGUAGUUCAGUUGGCUAGAACGCUCCCCUGUCACGGGAGAGGCCGCCGGUUCGAGUCCGGUCCGGACCG